RNAcentral lists this ribosomal RNA (750 nucleotides) under Olea europaea subsp. europaea. RNAcentral's name for it is "LSU_rRNA_bacteria". The stretch from base 371 to 750 matches the Rfam family "Eukaryotic large subunit ribosomal RNA", at positions 1 to 406 of the family's 3401-position model. The record is from RNAcentral. Lineage: Eukaryota; Viridiplantae; Streptophyta; Magnoliopsida; Lamiales; Oleaceae.
AACGGAUAUCUUGACUCUCGCAUUGAUGAAGAACGCAGCAAAAUACGAUACUUGGUAUGAAUUGCAGAAUCCCUUGAACCAUCGAGUUUUUAAAAGCAAGUUGCACUGGAGGCCAUUAUGCCGAGGGCACGACUGCCUGGGCAUCACACACAGUGUCACCCUCCGUCUCCAUCCCUAACGAAAUCCUGGACCUUGGGCCGGAUAUUGGCCUCCCAUGUGCAUCCGUGCGCGACUGGCCAAAUUGCGCUUCGACAUCAACGCAUAUCACAAUGAUUGGCAGUUGAAGACCUCAUCUAGCUCGUCGUUGUGCACAACUGCAUUGUUCGAGCAGAAUGUGUUGACCUCGAAGGUGCUCCUCACACUUCGACAGCGACCAUAGGUCAGGCAGGAUCACCUGUUGAGUUUAAGUAUAUCAAUAAGCGGAGGUAAAGAAACUAACAAAGAUUCUCCUAGUAAUGACAAACAAACUAGAAAAAACCCAACUUGAGAAUUGGAUGGCUCCAUCGUUCAGAUUGUAGUCUAGAGAAGCGUCAUCGACGGUGGACCGAGCUCAAGUCCUCUAGGAAGGGGUGCUAGAGAGGAUGAGAGCCCCGUUGUGCUCGAACCCUGUCGCAGCACGAAGCACUGUCGAUGAGUCAAGUCGUUUAGGAAUGCAGCCCCAAUCGAGCGGUAAAUUCCGUCCAAGGCUAAAUAUCGUGAGGAAAAGAUGAAAAGAACUUUGAAAAAAGAGUUAAAAAAGUGUUUGAAAUU